Molecule: signal recognition particle RNA, 97 nt
Filed under: Desulfobotulus pelophilus
Lineage: Bacteria; Pseudomonadati; Thermodesulfobacteriota; Desulfobacteria; Desulfobacterales; Desulfobacteraceae
Description: signal recognition particle sRNA small type
Rfam family: Bacterial small signal recognition particle RNA
About the family: The signal recognition particle (SRP) is a universally conserved ribonucleoprotein involved in the co-translational targeting of proteins to membranes. Archaeal SRP consists of a 7S RNA and homologues of the eukaryotic SRP19 and SRP54 proteins.
Source: RNAcentral
GGCCGGCCGCUGCGUAACACAUUCUCGUGAACCUCGUCAGAUCCGGAAGGAAGCAGCGAUAAGCGAAGCGGUGUGUGUCGUGGUUCGACCCCGGCCA